This is a long non-coding RNA of Hordeum vulgare subsp. vulgare (domesticated barley), 3088 nucleotides long. RefSeq lists it as uncharacterized. The record is from RefSeq and is a predicted model, not a curated record. NCBI's taxonomy places the organism in Eukaryota, Viridiplantae, Streptophyta, Magnoliopsida, Poales, Poaceae. The transcript is spliced from 5 exons.
CCCUCUCCCUCCCGAUCCAGAUUGGAUCGGGGCAACCGACGCCACCCCACGCCGCCCCAACGGUUCCCCACCGCUUGCUAUUUGCCCCCACACUCCUUUCCUCCCUGCCCUCAUGUGAGAGCCAGCACGCGUGGCCUCCGAUGACCAAGCGAUAGGGUUUGGCACGCCACCUCCCUCUCCUCGAUCCAGAUCGACACGUCCCUCCGCCGCCCCCUCCUCCAGGCGGCGUACGACGGUGACCUUCGCCCCCUCCUUCAGAGCUCUCCAAACAGACCACGCGAGGGCGCUAGACAAGGGUGGGGGACGUGUGAGGGAGGUGGUGGAUUGGAGGUGGUCGCCGUGGAAGGCAACGAGGAAAGGAAGGGUGUUGGUGCGCUACACCUCACCGCCGAUGCCCCCUCCCUCGUCCCCACGUGACCUGAUGCGACGCUCGGCAGACGCUGACGAGCCAUUUGAGGACCGCGACGGGCGGGAUGGUCAAGUUGUACCCUCGACCAUGAACAGCAGGAGGCCCGUCAACAGCAGCAACUCAGGUUCUCCCCUGUCUGCUCGCUCGAUUCUUCAACUCACUUUAUUUGAUUUGUGUUGAUGCAAGUGUGUUGUUGAUGCUUUGCUGUUGUUUUUUGCUCACGCGGGGCGCAAGGAGAUGGUGCUUCACUUGGCCAAGUUUGUCGACAAGGGCGUCCAGGUCAAGCUCACCGGUGGCCGCCAAGGUUAUGCAAGCAAAUAAAGAAAUGGAGGAGCACCAGGAACAGCCAGGUCGGGACAUGUGUGAACCUAAAGAUGAGCCUACAAAGAUGGAGAAGCACCAAGAACAAUCAUCUCGGAACAUGAAUGAAGCCGAAGGCAAACCUGUAGAAAUGGAGGUUUGUCAAGAAUGAAACUCAAAAUUGAUGUGGCAUGAUAUAUACACAUGUUUAUAGACUUAAAAUUGUGGUGGUUCCUCUUUUACAAAAGCUCAAGUAUGAAGUGCGAAGUCGUGAAGUCCUACUCAGUGAAGAGUAGCAUAUUGUAGCAUAUCUGUGUUGUAAAGAUUGUAAUAGAUUUAUUUAGUGAUACAUUUGAUGAAUUUUAUGUGUUCUUCGUUCUAUUUGAAAUAUUGAUUAUCUAUACUACUAAUAAACAAGCAAACAAGAACUUUUUUAUGUACACCUAAUAAAACGUACACGGAUCUAUUAUUACCGCAUGAUUAGGCCCACAAAAUUCAAUCUAACGGCUAGCCUUAACCUAAUCCAUUCUCUGUGUGCACUUAACAAUUUGCAUUGACUAACCAUGCUCCAUCGCGGAGAAAAAUAUGAAACUCCACACCCGAUUAAUUAGGAAACCAUAAUCAUGAUGACGUAUUAUUAGGAAACUAAUGACGAUCACGUCUAAUUAGGAAACAAAUCGGGUAUUCGCACAUAUUGACACGUCCAUCACCUCAACCUGAUCCCGACUGUGGCGGCAGCGAAGGAGAUGGGGCGCGCUUUCUACAUCUGGAUCAAGCACGAGGAGGAGCGGCGCGAGGCGUCCUGGGACUGGGAGAAGCCCAAGGGCCAUGUCUUCUCUACCACCAAGGACACCGAUGUCGCCGCACGCCACGUCGAGCUCCGCAAUCAAAUCCUCAUCGGCAGCGCCUCCUUCGCCGACCUCGCCACCGCUCCUCCGUGAGGUGCGACGGCGACCUAGGUAUGCCUCCACAUGCCCUGCCUACGCGCUAAUUUGCAGGCUUCUAGAUAGGGUCUCCGAUCGUGGCGAACUGGAAGCACUAGCCAAGGCACUUCUUCGUCCUUUUUGUUCUUCUGUUACCCAGCCAAACCAAUUUUCUUGAGAACAAUCGUAUCUGGUUAGGACCAACACAUGAACCUGCAACACAAAUAAUGGGGGGAGCAACUACGAUAGAGGAUGAACUCGUGGUUGCUCUCUUGCUCUUUUCUUCAAAACAAUCUGAGAAAGGGUGCAAAGGAAACUAUAUUUUAAUCCUGAGAGAGCAAUCUUAUAUGAAAUAUAGUGUUGUGUUUGUGCGCCCCAUUUGGCAAGAGUUCAUAUUACCAUUUGUGUCAGUAUGAAAGUUCUCGCAUUGGUUGAUGCAGAAUAUGUCUAUUUUUUUACCAAGGGGUUCUAAUGAUUCGAAGACUGCGAUAUGUGCAAAUCUAGAAACUCUUUCUUCCCAUGAUGGGAAAUGCGCCAAGCCGAUCAGUUGUUGCCUUUGAAAGUGCACAUGCAUUGCUUAUGUACAGUAUUAAUUAUUAUAGGAUUAUGGGGCUAUUUGGACAAGAGCCAAGGGUUGCCCAACCAAAUUUUUUGGACUUGACCAGCGCGUUGACGGAUGUUUGGAUCAGCUCCAAAUAUUUGCAUUGCCCCGAGCCCAUCAGCUCUCCAUGUUGAUUAAGUAGCCAAAAUAUUGGUGAGACCGUGGCGGCUGAAUCGUCCGCCAAUUUUUUGGCGUGCUGACGGUUGGCAGGGCCACCACCAGCAGCAACCAAACAUGCCCUAUAUUUCGUAAGGAUUCAUUUUUUAUGGUCACGUCAACCAUGAUCGGCUUUGCAAAAAGCCAAGGUGUUAGGUACAGAUCAACUUAAUGUUUAUAUUUGAACAAAUACAGAAUUAUGCUUGAUCUUCAAAUAGAGGCACCGAUUGGGAGGAAACCUUGGUAUGUAUGAUGGGGACCCUCGAACAUAAGGUGGAUAAAUACAGUAGGGUAUGGACAUAUCGGGAAGCUGUUCAUCACAUUCAUUUCUCUCAAUGGAUUCAUAUUAAGGCCCGGGUUUAUCUGAAUGCCCAACAUAUUAUGUGGCUGCAACUGUACGUCGGGGAGUUACAGUUAUCUCAAAGCUAAUGGCAGACCAAUUUUUUUGAGUGUUUGCAUCUCAAAGGAUGAACACAUUUGUCAUGAACUCGAGAUUAUGAGUAAGUGUGGUUCUACCGUCAGCGAGUUCUACAAUUGGUUUCACGUGUACGGUGUACCUGACUUUUCUUGGACAGCCGCAAGAUGUCAUAUUGAUGCAACUUGAUGGUUUGCUUCUGUAUGAACUAGCAAUAUUCUGUUUUUUACAUGUACAAACUUAUAUUUCAGAAAUUUGAUGAAAUUUGUCAUUUGGUCGACUUA